CGGUCCUCCUGUCAAUCAGAGCCCUUCCAUUGUCUGAACGCGGAAGCUGGACCACGAGCCCUGGAACGAAGAGCGAGCCUCACCCCGGAGUGCAACGUCCUUCCACUGAAGUAUUUGCAGAUCUCA
Molecule: non-coding RNA, 126 nt
Organism: Chiloscyllium plagiosum (whitespotted bambooshark)
Lineage: Eukaryota; Metazoa; Chordata; Chondrichthyes; Orectolobiformes; Hemiscylliidae
Source: RefSeq, a predicted model, not a curated record